AACGAACGCUGGCGGCAGGCUUAACACAUGCAAGUCGAACGAGCUGGGGGCAACGGUCUCCGCUGAUAGUGGCGCACGGGUGCGUAAGACGUGGGUAUAUGCCAUUUAGUACGGAAUAAGCAAGGGAAACUUUGGAUAAUACCGUAAAAGCCCUUAGGGGGAAAGAUUUAUAGCAAAAGGAUUUGCCCGCGUCUGAUUAGGUAGUUGGGGAGGUAAUGGCGCACCAUGCCGACGAUCAGUAGCUGGCCUGAGAGGAUGAUCAGCCACACUGGGACUGAGACACAGCGCAGACUCCUACGGGAGGCAGCAGUGGGGAAUAUAGGACAAUGGGGUCAACCCUGAACCAGCCAGGCCGCGUGAGUGAAGAAGUCCGGCGGGUUGUAAAGCUCUUUCGACGGGGACGAUUAUGACGGUACCCGAAUAAGAAGCCCCGGCAAACUUCGUG
This 445-nucleotide ribosomal RNA is filed under the name uncultured bacterium. RNAcentral describes it as "partial 16S ribosomal RNA". It matches the Rfam family "Bacterial small subunit ribosomal RNA", at positions 29 to 507 of the family's 1533-position model. The record is from RNAcentral.